Meleagris gallopavo (turkey) is the source of this 5068-nucleotide non-coding RNA. NCBI's taxonomy places the organism in Eukaryota, Metazoa, Chordata, Aves, Galliformes, Phasianidae. The record is from RefSeq and is a predicted model, not a curated record.
GUUCCCUACAGUAGACUGCACAGGAAAGCAUCCAGGUGGGUUGUCAUUUGAAUAUCACCAGAGAAGGAGACUGCAGCCUCCUCCACACUACCCCCUUCGUAGGUGGCCUUUUCUUCACAGUUUGCAUUGGAGCUUAUCAACAAGUGUCGUAUAGACAAGGGAUAAAUGUACACAAGUUAUUUGCAGAAUUCAGAGAUGAGUUAAUCUUUUGAGACUUGUAUGUUUGAGAGCCUGGGGAAAAAGAAAUGUAGCUGAAAUUUCUAGAGAUUUUGUAGAACCUCCAGUCUAGUGGUCCCUGGACUGCUACAGAGGAUACGGAGCUGGUGGCACAGAUGCCAGCUAACAAGAAAAGGUAGAUCCUAAAGCUGUGGGCUUUAGCUGUUAGCACAUAAAUGCUUACUUGAAGCAGAUGGGAACUGUGUUACACCUUCCUUGUCAGGAAGAAAUGUGUCCAUUGUUUUUUAGAUUGUAUUAGAAUGGAUGCAGUCGUUAUCCAUCAGUGAAGUCCAUGGAAUUACGUAAAUCUGUUGGAGUAUCAGAAACCAACAUUCUGAGAAAUACCUGAAAUUUUAAGCACCAAUCUCCUGGUAUAUGGCCAGGAGAGUACAAAAUCUCAAAGCAAAACUGACAAAAUGAUGUAACGGAGAGAAAACUUGAGUUUUAAGGAUUCAGACAACUUUACAGAAAAGAUAGAAUGAACACUGAAAGCACGUGUAUUUACAGAGAAAAUACAUAUUUAUAUUUUCUUCACAAAUAUGGAUACUGAAAUUAUCCUGAAAUAAUGAAAAUAAAUAAUUCCCAAAAUAACCUCGCUAGUAUGCAAUCUCAGCAGCAUAUCUCCUGCCAUAUUCUGUGAUUAAACACUAGAGCAAAAUAUCAUGGUGAUUUGCUCUUCUGCUUGUUGCUGCUUCACCAUCUAAGGCAAUUUCAAUGAAGCUCUUGGGAUGGCUUCUUACGUGAGAAAGUAUAUUAGGCCACAGUUUGGCAAAUGUGUUUUAUAGCAGAUGUGUGUACUUCAUCUGAUUCUCCUCAUCUUUUGCUGCUCAUUCUUGAAUCAUGCUGCUCUCUCUGUUACACUGUUAUGUAUCUGAGCAGUGAACCAGAUGAGAAAAGUGAUCUGGGUUAAAAAUAACCCAGCUACACCCCCAGAUCUAGAUCGGUGCAUAUACUGUGUGACUGGCCAGUUGCAUUUGGUGUGUCAGAAGCCUGGUUUAGGCCAGUUCCCCAGCUCACGGGGCUGUAUCAGUAACUGACAAGAAUUUGAAAAGCUAAAGGCUAAUAUCUAUCCGUCUAAUUCCUUAAAAUGGAAAUGCUGGAGAAAUCCAUUUCCCCAGCACUGAGUGAGCUGGAGUUCAGAUAUCUUAGCCCAAAUGUUCUUCUGUCUGUGCCCUGAGGUGCCCAGCUUAAAAAAAGUUAUAUGGGAGUAAGCCUGAUUUACUGAUGCCAUAAAUGUCAGCAUACAGUAUCAUGUGAGCAAGGUAACCUAAGUUUGUAUUUCAGAUCAUAUGUGCUCCUUCAAGCUUCAGUAUUCCAAAUGUAAUUACGAACACUGGAUAUUUCUGGAGAGGUUUGUUGAGGCAGAGUGGGAAGAAUGCGAGCAUAACCAGAACAGGCCAUAUCACCUCUGCCAUGUACAUCAGCAGUUAGAUUUAGACAAAUGUAAGUACACAGAAGUAUGCAUGAUUUCCUGAUGUAAAGCAGAACAAAUACUCAUAAACAAAAGUGUCAAUAUCUGGAGUCACUGUACAUGUACUUGGCAGAGGUAAGAUAACAGCAAAUACCAAAUACCACUGUAAAACUGCCUGGGUGAAGGUAAGCAACUACUGCACAACAGAAUGAAGUUGCUCAGACACUGCACAGCAGAAAUGAGGUUACCAUUUGGCAAAACUUCUGGCAUUCUGCUUUUGGGCUUUUCACCCUGGAUGCUGAGGGAGAUCUCUGGCAUCCUUUUGGAAGGCAUAUUUGAGAAUUCUGUUUGUAACCCAACUGGAUGGUAUAAAAAUACAGAUUUCAAUGGAAAAUAUGUUUAUUAUAUAAUUUUAGAAACUCUUCUUUCCCUGGGCUCUCAGGUUCUGCAGGCUGUAACAAUUAGACUUGUAACAGAUCCCCCAUUUUAUCUCUCCUCUUCAGCAAUAUCCCUUCUAAUCUGCAGGUACCAGUUGUCUUUCUCUGAGAUGAUCUGAUACUUAUUAAAGUCUGCAGUUUUCCUCAUCUUGAAUUUAAUUUUAAAAUUUGUUUUCAGUUCUGAAGACCUUGAUCCCAGAAAGCCAAUCUACUUUUUCUAGCUGUAAUAGUUUGUCUACAAAAUGUAAUUUCUCAGCUUUGUAAACCUUGUCUUCACAAAGCCCUAUGAUAAUCAGGGCUAUACUAUGACUAUAAUAAUCUAUUAACAUGAACUCAAAAUAAUGACGCAGAUUUUUAAAGACAGAGUUGAGUGAAGUGCAUUAAGGCACUAAUGCUGAAGUCUGUAAAAAGAAAAUAAUUUUUAAAUAAGAAAAUGCAUAAAUAAGAGCUUAUCAGAAAUCAUAUGCUAGAGGCAGUACUUGUGACAAGGUGCUGGGAUGUUAACUAAUUACCGACCUUUCUCAGCCACUUGUGUCUCUCCAGAAGAUAUUGUUUAGCACAGCAUUAGUCACUAGUAUUUCUUCUCUUUCCUCCAUCAGGCUUUUAUAACCCUAGGAUGAUUUAUUUGGAGUACUUUUUGAUAAUUGAAAGCUGUUCCACAGAGUAGCUGUUGUGGAACAUUUUGAAGCUUGAGCCACAGGAAAUCAGCAGAUAAGACUUCACACAGCCAUCACUUGAUCAGCCAGGGAUCCCACACGUUUUUUGGCUGUGUUCUGAGAACUAAGAAACCUCCGAUAGGAGAUUUCUGCGCACAUGCGAGUAACUUUCGUUAGAAAAUGUGAUGUUUUCAUUUUUUCAGAUGGCUCCUUUUCUGAGUUCAAAGAGGACUCAAGCGCUGAGAAGCCGUUCAGUCUACAAGAGCCCAGUACUGAGUUGGUGAAGUAAAAGACAAGUUCUCCAGAAUAACGUGUAGUGGCUGUGGCAUCCUGACUACCAUAAGCAAAUAAUGGAUCAUCAUAAUCAGAAGCAGAUGUUGCAGGUUCCAUGACUUCACUGACAAGGCUGGGUGCAGUGGGAAAAGAAGAGAAUUCAAAAGAACUUUGAUAGCUGCAAAGAAGCUUUAAGAUGAUGAUCUGUUUCUUCUGCUGAGCAAGAAAAAAAAACCUAAAUGCAUAAUUUUUGGUGAUUUAACUAAAGGAGAUAUUAGUUUUGCUGUCAGGAAGCAUCAAUUCUAUAUUAUAGAUACUCAGAAAAGAAUUAAUGCAAUAUUUAUCAUCACUAGAUCAAAAUCACUUGGUUAUAGCUUAGAUUCCAUUUGUAUCAGCCUUCGAAUACAUGUCAGUAAGUGAGACUGUCCUGUUACAGGGACUGCCUUAAUAGUUGUAACUUUCCAAUGAUGUCCGUUCAAGAAUAUUCAAAUAGCUGAAUAUCUUGAAGAGAGUGUAGGUUUCCUAUGGUGUUUUUUCCCCCCUCUUUCUCUCGGUUGUAUUUGUGACAAAAAUAGGCAUGAUAAAUGAUUAGCAACAGCUGGACAGUUAGUACUAUAGAGUCUGUGGGUCUGCUGAGCCUGAAAGCCUUUGGCUCCACAGGAAAUAUGAGCACUAUGGAAGCAGCUCCAAAAUUAUGGAGGUUUGGUUGCACAUCUUUCACCAAAUGUAGGGUAUUCUUUCAAGCAGUGACAAUGGCUGUGUUUCAAAUAGGAAGCAAACUCAAGACCACCUUCUUCCUAAAACAAAAUAAAUCAGUUGUUGUAAGAGGAUUGUUGAAGAGAAACAUCUGGAGGAAAUGCCAUUCUGGUUUCAGACUUGCCUUUGGAAUACCCUAACAUACAUCUUCCAGGAUAUGAUACUGUGCUUCAUCAGACAACAUCACAAUGAGAUCAUACAUCUGAAUAUGGAGUGCAGGCUAGCCUUAUGAAGCAUGGUGAUUGCUAUGUCUGAUUUUAUUUCUUCAGUGAGUAAAUUAGGAAUAUUUCUCCUCCAAUCAUGAGAAAUUGGAUCAUUACUUUGAAGCUAGAAGGGAAUCCUAGAUAUGUACAAAAAUGAUUAUUUCAUAAACUCUGAAUUUAUGUGAGGGUAGAUGAUGUCUGUAACCAGAAGCAGCUCUGAGAUAUCAACAGAGUAUCAAAGACAAACUACAAGUAAAUCCAGGUCAGAAUUAAGGUGAGAAAAAUUUGUGGUACAAAACAGUGAAAAUGCCAUGAUUUUGUGGAGCCACCUGUAAUCUCAGACUGUGGACUGUUUCAGAGGAGAGCAAAUAACAAGGUUGAUCUAGCUUUAUAUGUACUUGUUAAUAUUUUCUAGUGCUCCUUCCAUGUAUACUCUUAGAAUGAAAACAAAAUACAUCCGUUCCUUAUAAUAGAUCUUCAUGGAUUUAUUAGCCUUUUUAAAAAUUUGGGAGAAUAAAAACUUUUUGGCAAAUUCUCAGAUCUCUCAUUGUUAAAAUGUUGAAUUAAAAUGCCAUUGAUACUGACAUAAUCUUCAUAAUUAGUUACUUGCUACCUGUGUAUUGAUGAUUUCAUAGCAAUCAGGUCUGAUAUAAGUUAAGACAUUUGUAUUUUAAAUAAUUUCUUUUGGUUUUGGUACAUGUAGAGCUUGUAGUAACAUGACCAUCUGAAUAUUAUCAUCAUAUAGUUUGCAAGGAGGUUUUUUAAAGUUAUAGCUACAUAAACAAGGAAGAUGAAGGAAUAUUCAGACUAGGCAGAACACAGAAUAUGUAGAGAAUUUACUUAAAGGUAAGUGUAUCUGUCCUUUUUUCUGGAUUUUGCCGAAAUACGUUACAUCUAUUCACCUGCCUUCUUCUACACAGUGAUAUAUGCAAUAGGCAUCAUAAGCAAUUAGUUGCUAAUUGUUGCUAUAAAAUCUGCAGUGAAAUGAAAUAAUGAAAUGAUCUGUUGCUGUCCUGCUUAGAGAUGUUUCUGUGAGUUGUUUUAGAGUACUGUGUGUAAUAGAUUUGGCAUUUUCUUUUUUUAGGUCUUCGAUUUUGUAUAUGUCCUAAUUCUCUC